Molecule: ribosomal RNA, 1051 nt
Filed under: uncultured bacterium
Lineage: Bacteria
Description: bacterial SSU rRNA
Rfam family: Bacterial small subunit ribosomal RNA
Source: RNAcentral
GGGGGAUUUUGAACAUGGGGCGCAAGCUUGAUCCAGCCCAUGCCGCGUGUCUGAAGAAGGCUUUCGGUNNGUAAAGGACUUUUGUCAGGAAGAAAAAGGCGGGGGUUAAUACCCCUGUCUGAUGACGUACNNUGAAGAAUAAGCACCGGCUAACUACGUGCCAGCAGCCGCGGUAAUACGUAGGGUGCGAGCGUUAAUCGGAAUUACUGGGCGUAAAGCGGGCGCAGACGGUUACUUAAGCAGGAUGUGAAAUCCCCGGGCUCAACCUGGGAACUGCGUUCUGAACUGGGUGACUAGAGUGUGUCAGAGGGAGGUAGAAUUCCACGUGUAGCAGUGAAAUGCGUAGAGAUGUGGAGGAAUACCGAUGGCGAAGGCAGCCUCCUGGGAUAACACUGACGUUCAUGCCCGAAAGCGUGGGUAGCAAACAGGAUUAGAUACCCUGGUAGUCCACGCCCUAAACGAUGUCGAUUAGCUGUUGGGCAGCAUGACUGCUUAGUAGCGAAGCUAACGCGUGAAAUCGACCGCCUGGGGAGUACGGUCGCAAGAUUAAAACUCAAAGGAAUUGACGGGGACCCGCACAAGCGGUGGAUGAUGUGGAUUAAUUCGAUGCAACGCGAAGAACCUUACCUGGUCUUGACAUGUACGGAACCCUCCAGAGACGGAGGGGUGCCUUCGGGAGCCGUAACACAGGUGCUGCAUGGCUGUCGUCAGCUCGUGUCGUGAGAUGUUGGGUUAAGUCCCGCAACGAGCGCAACCCUUGUCAUUAGUUGCCAUCAUUAAGUUGGGCACUCUAAUGAGACUGCCGGUGACAAGCCGGAGGAAGGUGGGGAUGACGUCAAGUCCUCAUGGCCCUUAUGACCAGGGCUUCACACGUCAUACAAUGGUCGGUACAGAGGGUAGCCAAGCCGCGAGGUGGAGCCAAUCUCACAAAACCGAUCGUAGUCCGGAUUGCGACUCUGCAAACUCGAGUGCAUGAAAGUCGGAAUCGCUAGUAAUCGCAGGUCAGCAUACUGCGGUAAAUACGUUCCCGGUUCUUGCACACACCGCCCGU